GCAGAGUAGGAACAGGAGCGUUAAGUGCCCGGUAAACAGGAAGUUGUUAUCGGGACGAAAAGAUUGUCUUGCGAUUGCUGUUCCGCAUUCCGCUGC
RNAcentral lists this non-coding RNA (96 nucleotides) under bovine gut metagenome. RNAcentral's name for it is "THF riboswitch". It matches the Rfam family "THF (Tetrahydrofolate) riboswitch aptamer". From Rfam's summary of the family: THF riboswitch presents a pseudoknot that joins P1-P2 and the loop of P3 and two THF binding. The record is from RNAcentral.